ACUGUUUCCAAUGCGCUAUCCAUCUGUCUUGGAGCGGUGCUAAAACAACCUGGAACUAACAGCUAACGGCAGCCUGAAUACAGCCAGGGUAACCUAUACCAUGCAGCCUAGAGAGGAGGACAAGCCUGGAGUAGUGAUUUUUGAACCAUUUCUAAUUUGACGGAGUAUUUUUUACUAUUCUUCGUUCUCGUCUAUAAAAUAAAUGGACAUUACCGCAAUUGUAUCAAUUUGACAUACCUCCAUACAUUCACUCGCCCGCGCACACGCCAUACAAUUGCAGUCAGACGGGCUCAGGUUAGGAGAUUCAGAAACGCUCAAGGAUAUUAUCCCCAAAAACUUUCAAUCAUGGAUUUAUUUUUUAUUCCACCACGAAUUUGCUGGUGGAGGGUAUUGUUUCUUUUGAGCAUCUUUCAGGACUACUUGAGCAAUAUGCUGGACUGCCCGCCAACCUGCAGCUGCUCUCCAACUGAGAUCUAUUGCAAUAAGUCUGAUAAUGGGAAAUUCUUUCCUCUGCUUGCACUGCAAGAUACUGGGAACAAUGGAAAUAACAGCAUCGAAGAUCUGUUCAAGAACAUCACCUCAAUACAUAUCGAGAACUGGACUGGCCUGCAGACCCUGAAGGAUGUGGACAUGGAGCUGUACACUGGACUUCAGAGACUAACGAUCAUGAACGGCAACCUGCGCGGAAUCCAGGCCAGAGCUUUCUCACAGAACCCCCACCUGCGCUACAUAAACCUAUCGAAGAAUCCUCUGACCACGUUAUCAUGGCAACUCUUCCAGAAUCUUCAACUCUUCGAGCUGAGGCUGGAAGAAGUGGUGUUUGAGUGUGGCUGUGAUAUCCGCUGGAUUCAGCUGUGGCAGCAGCGAGGGGAUGCUGGCCUGCACACCCAGCUGUUAUUCUGCAACAACGGAGCCUCCAAGAUCCCUCUGCAGGCUAUGAAUAUCUCCCUCUGUGACUUGCCGGACAUCAGUGUGACCCACUAUAAUCUCACAGUGAUUGAGGGGGACAGAGUCACCGUCACCUGUAAUGGAUCUGGAUCCCCCCUCCCUGAGGUGGACUGGACCGUCAAUGACCUCCACUCCAUCAACACUCACCAGUCCAAUGUGUACUGGCCCAAUGUCCACUCCAUCAACCUGACCCUGGUCAACGUGAGCCGUGAUGACAACUUCUACAUGCUGACCUGUAUAGCAGAGAACAAAGUGGGGAUGGCCAACGCCUCCAUUCAGCUCACUGUCCAUUUCCCCCCCACCAUCCUGAAGCUAGACGAGCCCGAGCGUCGCCAUGAAACCUGCAUAGAGUUCACGGUGCGCGGCAACCCCCAGCCCACCCUGCGCUGGUUCCACCGGGACAAGGAGAUCCCCCCCAGUGACUACAUCCGCACUGAGAUGGAUACCUACCAGGACUACCUAGAGGGAUGCCUCAACUUCAAGGACCCCACACACCACAACAACGGCAACUACACCCUGGAGGCUAGCAACUUCCUAGGAGUCACCACCAAGACAGUGUAUGGACACUUCCUCAACGCCCCGUUUUCAGACGAUUAUGGUGAUUAUGGGACUCCAACACCGACCAUCACAGUAACACACAGGCCUGAAGAGGACACAUUCGGGGUGUCUAUUGCUGUGGGCCUUGCUGGAUUUGCCUGUGUCCUUCUUGUUGUCCUGUUUGUUCUCAUCAACAAAUAUGGCCGACGUUCGAAGUUUGGAAUGAAAGGACCAGUAGCAGUGAUCAGUGGUGAGGAGGACUCGGCCAGCCCCCUGCACCAUGUCAACCAUGGCAUCAUCACCCCCUGUACCCUUGACGCUGGACCAGACGCUGUGGUCAUCGGGAUGACCCGUAUCCCUGUCAUUGAGAACCCGCAGUACUUCAGACACGGACACAACUGUAACAAGCCUGCUACCUACGUACAGCACAUAAAGCGUCGGGACAUCAUUCUGAAGCGGGAGCUGGGAGAGGGGGCCUUUGGGAAGGUGUUUCUGGCAGAGUGCUAUAACCUCAGCCCUACCAAGGACAAGAUGCUGGUGGCUGUCAAGACCCUGAAGGACCCCACCCUUGUAUUUUCUCAGACGCUGAAGGACCCCACCCUUGUAUUUUCUCAGACGCUGAAGGACCCCACCCUUGCAGCGAGAAAAGAUUUCCAGAGGGAGGCAGAACUAUUGACCAACCUGCAGCAUGAGCACAUUGUCAAGUUCUAUGGUGUGUGUGUGGAUGGAGACCCCCUCAUCAUGGUCUUUGAGUACAUGAAGCACGGGGACCUCAACAAGUUUCUCAGAGCCCAUGGGCCCGACGCUAUGAUCCUGGUUGACGGACAGCCGCUGCAGACCAAUGGGGAGCUAGGCCUUUCUCAGAUGCUGCACAUUGCCACUCAGAUCGCCGCAGGGAUGAUGUACCUGGCCUCCCAGCACUUUGUGCACCGUGAUUUAGCCACUCGGAACUGCCUGGUGGGCAACGGCCUGCUGGUGAAGAUUGGUGACUUUGGAAUGUCCAGGGACAUCUACAGCACAGACUACUACAGGGUAAGCACCUUUGUAUGUUUUAUAGAUAACAAAUGAUUUCAUGUAGUAAAUGUAUUUGCUUGUUUGUUAUAUCAAGCUAUACUGUACAUUCAUAAUCGACUCAAUGAUGUAUUUUUGGUCACCGUACAGUGUUUUUAGAGAACAGGUGGUGUUUUGACACAGUGGCUGUGGACGGUGGCCCUGCAUUCACCUGCCUCAUGAUGAUGUGUUUGUUGACCUUUACUGAUACCUGCCCUGCCCUGAACUCUUUACCUUUACUAAUGCACAAAUGUACAAGGAGAAGUGAUGCAUGCUCAAUAUGUCUAUUUGUGAAGAUGUGCCACGUCUAGGGCAGAACCACUCUCGCUGUAUUUUGUUUGUAGCAGAAGAUUAUUUCUUUGACUUCUUCCCGGUGACCAGAAUAUAGAGCUCGUAGCCGAGAUGAGAAUGGAGUUGCUGAAGCUGUGCUGGCAUUACAAAGGGAUUAUUACUGUGGCACAGGGGAUUUUCACUAGAUACAGACUGUAAUUGCCAUUGUGAAAAAGAAGUUACAUUUGCAGUAAAUGUCAAAUAGUCCAUUGAGUCUCAUCCUACUUAAUGUGUUCUGCAGGCUACUUUUCCUUAAUGGUACCUUCGCAAUAAGCAGCUCAGUAAAAUGGGUGGCAGGUAGCUUACUGGUUAGAGCGUUGGGACCAGUAACUGAAAUGUCGCUAGUUGGAAUCCCCGAGCCGACAAGGUGAAAAAUCUGUGGCUGUGCCCUUGAGCAAGGCACUUAACUCUAAUUGCUUUCCGUGACCCCACUCUCAGAGGGUGUAUCAGGUGAAGUUGGGACAUACAAAAAUACACAUUUAUAUUUCACACAGAAAUUCGUUUUUUGCACGUCCCAUCUCCCCCUGAGACACCCUCAGAGAGUGGGGUCAUGUGGCUUUUCUCCUUUUAGAUACUAAGGUAAGGUAUAGAAAGAAAAGCCAGUGUGAGACUGAUUCACCACCAGACUACUACCAGGAUUGCUGGACUGCCCCCUGUUGGUCUAGCAGCAUCUUUGGGACUUUGCCAUUUUGGACCUGGGCAUCUCUGCCAGACCAGGCCUGCUGUAUGGUCCACUGACAGAGCUGAGAGAUUAGGAGGUCGUAACUGCAUUGGACACAUUCCCUGUUGUUGAGUGAUUAUAAAUUGGGGCGGCUGCCAAGAACAUAUCUCCCUGACACUGCUGACAUAUUGACGUCCGCUCCUCUCCUUCAGGAAAAGCAAGAAAACUGCCCUCAAGGGAUAUGACACAGUAAGCAAGAGCACAGUCUGAGCUGGGUUUUUUCACAGGCAGCAUAUCUGACAGCCCCAUCUGUAUAAUGAAAAUGAUGCCCGGGCUCCCCCAAACCAAAUUAGCUGUUGGUUCUCAGUCUGCAGGCAGGCACACAGAUCUGACAUGGCACUGUGUUUGUGAGCUGAGAAGUAUGACAUGGCUUCAUAGACCCUGUUGGAAACGAUACAACAAAUAGCAAGGCUAUGUGAAUCUGAAAGGCAACGGGAAGUCAGGCAACCUUGACAUGCACAUGAAUGUACAUUGAGCAUGGGUCAUGCAGCAGUUUGAGAGGCAGCGGACAAUGAUAGCAUGAUAUUACGUCAUAGAGGAAUGCAUUUUCAUUCAGAUCACUGUUUAACUAACUAUGCUGGGUGUAUAAUUCCUUUACACUUCCUCAACAGCCACUGUUGGUCAGCUGCAAUGUUAAUCCAACAAUCCAAUGCCAUUGUUCCAAAUGAGGAAAGCUUCAUUAUUAUGAUUCAUCUGCUCUUUAGAACGUAACGACAUACAGUCAGGUCCAUAAUUAUUGGCACCCUUGAUAAAGAUGAGCAGAAAAUACUGUACAAAACAGUAUCAAAGAUCCACCACCAUAUUUUACUGUAGGUUUGAGGUACUUUUCUGCAUAUGCUUCAGUUUUUCGAUGCCAAACCCACCACUGGUGUGUCUGGCCAAAGAGCUCUAUUUUCAUGUCAUCUGACCAUAACGCCGCCUGGAAUUUGAUAAACGGUAUUUGGAUUGGAACCGGUGCUAUGGUCAGACGACAUGAAAAUAGAGCUCUUUGGCCAGACACACCAGUGGUGGGUUUGGCAUCGAAAAACUGAAGCAUAUGCAGAAAAGUACUUACAGUAAAAUAUGGUGAUGGAUCUUUGAUGUUAUGGGACUAUUGUGCUUCCACUGGUCCUGUGGCCCUAGUUAAGGUCAACGCUAUCAUGAACUUCACCAAGUACCAGGACAUUUUAGCCAAAACCUGGUUGCCUAUACCGGGAGGAUGACACUUGGCGGCAAGUGGAUAUUCCAGCAAGACAAUAACCACAAGCACACAUCAAAAUCCACGAAGAAAUGCUUAAUUGACCACAAAAUAAACAUUUUGCAAUGGCCAUCUCAGUCUCCGAACUAUAAGUGCAGACGAAGGAUAUCAAGGAUCUGGAAAGAUUCUGUAUGGAGGAAUGGUCUAAGAUCCAUCCCAAUGUGUUCUCCAACUCAUAAAACAUUUUAGAAGUAGGCUCAGUGUCAUUAUCCUCGCAAGGGUAGGGUGUUGGAGUUCUGAAAACAGGGGUGCCAAUAAUUUUUACCCCUAUCUGAUCAUUUUAUUAUUAGCUGUUAAACAACCUCUCAUUCUCUGAGCAAUUGUGUUAGUAUGUAAUAAUACAAUUGUCUUUUUUUUGUUGCAUGCAAUAUGUGUAUAUAUUUGAGUAUUUUUUGCUCAUCGUUAUCAAUGGUGCCAAUAAUUAUGGACCAGACUGUACAUAGAGGGACAGUGUUGAAAAUGUAUUAACAGUUGCUUCAAUCAAUGUAUAUGUUAUCGUCAGUCUGAUUAUACAAAUUAGCUAUACUUUAAUUUCUCUCUAUAUGCUAAUUGUGCUAUGCUUUUAAAUUGUGUUGGUGUUUUUGUCAUCACCCUGCCAGUUUUAAUUCCGCUACAAGGGAAGACCACACUCUAAUUUAUAUGCUUCCAUGAUCUGCCGUUCAACCCCAGACUGAAUUGAGGGUGGUGCUUGCCAGGGAGAAGCCAUUAAGAUUGAUUGAAAUUCAAUCAAUUAAUGUAAUCUCCCAGCACACAGACACACAAACACAUAAACAAGUUAACAAAUACAUGACUCCGAAAACCAGAUCUAGUCUCCCAAGACAGACAGAGCUUCCAUAACGAACACAAAUCUGUCUUGCAGAUACAGGUAACUGCCAAAAUAAAGGAAACACUAACAUAAAGUGUCUUAAUUGGGUGUUGGGCCACCAUGAACCAGAACAGCUUCAAUGCACCUUGGCAUAGAAACUACAAGUGUCUGGAACUCUAUUGGAGGGAUGCAGCACCAUUCUUCUACGGUGAAAUUCCAUAAUUUUUUUGUUUUUUAAAUGGUGGUGGAAAACGCUGUCUCAAGCGCCGCUCCAGAAUCUCCCAUAAGUGUUCAAUUUGGUUGAGAUCUGGUGACUGAGACGACCAUGGCAUAUGGUUUACAUCGUUUUUCUUUUCAUGCUCAUCAAACCAUUCAGUGACCACUCGUGCCCUGUGGACGGGGGCGUUGGCAUCCUAUGAGGGCAUAGCCAUUGUAGCCAAAAUAAUGGCCUGCCCAGACCCUAUCCAUGAUGGGAUGUUAAUUGCCUAAUUAACUCAGGAACCACACCUGUGUAGAAGCACCUGCUUCAAUAUACUUUGUAUCCCUCAUUUACUCAAGUGUUUCCAUUAUUUUGGCAGUUACCUGUACAACCUAUGAAUCUUGCAAAUAUCAUAGAACUGUGGUAAGUCUUCAAAACGGUAUGUGAAUUUGUAUCAUCCUCCUGUUCUACUGUUUUGGACACCAGCCUGCAUUCUAGGGUGGUGUACCAUGUAGUGCCAACAACAUUGGUCUGGUAGAGAACAAUCUGUCCACAUGAAGUCAAUAGUCAGGGGUCCAGCAGAAUGGAAAGGGUGUCAGGUCAUUGCAGCAGGGAUACCAAUUCACUUCUGAGUCCCUUGCAAAUGUACUGUACUAGGAGAAGUCAUAGGGACUUCCCAUGACAUUCUGACCUGUUCCCUGUCAAGUAUUGAUUAUGAGGUAGGGCUGGGAUUGAAUCAGGAGAUGGGAUAGUAGGGUAGAGCUAUGACAAAGGUGAGGAUUCGAGGUAAGAACAUUUAAGUUGAUUUUACAGUGAAUAUUAGGGUUGUCGUGUGGAUUGCAUGAUAGACAAAUAGCCCUUUCCCUAAUGGGCCAGAAAUGCAUUAAAACUGUUAUACCCUUCUCUGCACAGUACACACACAUUUGAAAUCUGCAUCCGCCUUAUUUACAAUAAGCUAUGGGUUAUUUAUAUGAAUGAACAUGAAAACAUUUGAUUUUUCAAACAUCCUGCACUUUUUUUCUCUUUUCAGCUUGGAAGAAGAUCACUAGAGUGUGGUAGUCGUUAGGGUUACAUAUUCACACAGGCUUUAUGGGACCUGGUCCGGCAGACUUUUUACCAUAAUCUCAUUAAUAAACCGUCAUAAAUCUUAAAAAAGGAGAGCAGGCGGACGAGGAGGAGGAGAAGGAGGAGGGGGAGAAGGAAGGGGUGGGGGGCCACACCAUGCUGCCCAUCCGUUGGAUGCCCCCUGAGAGCAUCAUGUACAGGAAGUUCACUACAGAGAGCGACGUGUGGAGCUUUGGUGUGAUCCUCUGGGAGAUCUUCACCUACGGGAAGCAGCCAUGGUUUCAACUGGCCAACAAUGAG
This is a non-coding RNA of Salmo salar (Atlantic salmon), 7192 nucleotides long. NCBI's taxonomy places the organism in Eukaryota, Metazoa, Chordata, Actinopteri, Salmoniformes, Salmonidae. The record is from RefSeq and is a predicted model, not a curated record.